UACGUAGGGUGCGAGCGUUGUCCGGAAUUAUUGGGCGUAAAGAGCUCGUGGGCGGCUUGUCACGUCGAUUGUGAAAGCCCGAGGCUUAACCUCGGGUCUGCAGUCGAUACGGGCUAGCUAGAGUGUGGUAGGGGAGAUCGGAAUUCCUGGUGUAGCGGUGAAAUGCGCAGAUAUCAGGAGGAACACCGGUGGCGAAGGCGGAUCUCUGGGCCAUUACUGACGCUGAGGAGCGAAAGCGUGGGGAGCGAACAGG
Molecule: ribosomal RNA, 253 nt
Filed under: uncultured bacterium
Lineage: Bacteria
Description: partial 16S ribosomal RNA
Rfam family: Bacterial small subunit ribosomal RNA
Source: RNAcentral